CGGAUCCCGACUCGGUCCGGUCCGAUCUCGUUGACGAUCGCCUCGACGAUUUCUAGAGCGAAUCGGCAACGGUUUUGUAAGGAGCCGCCGUAUUGGUCAGUCCGGUCGUUUAAUUGGUCUUUCAUGAAUUGCUCGAUUAGCAAGUCUGAAAUCAUUAACAACAAGCGGAAUCUCCUCUGUAGUUAGCUUCCUUGGAGAUGAAAAUCGUGCAACACCAAUGCCAUUGCUUCGUGGUUGAGGAAAUAGUUUUUUAUCUGUGGAAGAUAUUGGGGCUUGCCCAUUUGGCUGUAAAUCUGCUCAAUAGAUGAAGAAUUUAAAAGGUUGGUUAAAAGCAUGUCGACUUAAAAGACAACUUAGUAACCAUUGCAAGAAUUAGCCACUUACUUUUCUUUUUAUACCAAUAGGGGCAAUGUACUUUUUAUACCUAGUAUUUUGAAAAUGUUCUGUUACAAUGUUGUAAACAGAAGAAAAAAAAAAGUAGUAUGCUAUAACAAAUUAAUCAGUUAAGUUAAA
Molecule: long non-coding RNA, 513 nt
Organism: Lactuca sativa (garden lettuce)
Lineage: Eukaryota; Viridiplantae; Streptophyta; Magnoliopsida; Asterales; Asteraceae
Source: RefSeq, a predicted model, not a curated record